This 3207-nucleotide non-coding RNA is filed under the name Pongo abelii (Sumatran orangutan). Lineage: Eukaryota; Metazoa; Chordata; Mammalia; Primates; Hominidae. The record is from RNAcentral.
GCGAGGCGUCCCCUCGGCGGCCGCCUCAGUUUCCCUGGCCGUAAACCGCAGGCGAUCGCGCUCCGUGCCCCGGGAGACGCCGGGGUCCGCGGGCCCUUCCAGCACCAGGUCUCUCCUUCGGGUUCGGGGGCCCGGCUCCCUCCGCGCGGGGCAAGCGCGGCGAUGAGAUUGGUCCGUGCUGCGCUCGGCCCCGCUUUCACUAUCCCUCUGCCCUAACGGCAGCAAAAUCAGCAGACGAGCCCCGAACUUGCAUGUGGCCCGUACACUCCGGCCGUAAAAAUGAAAAAGACAGGGAAUAUUCGCUUGUGUACAGCCUUUCCAGGGCAGUGCAGAAAUACGUAGUUCCAAAGCGUUAACGAUGUGCAAUUUGCAUAUCCUCCGUCACAUGGAUUGUACUAAUUCCAUGAUGGAUGUAUGCAAAGAAUUUGCUGUUCGCUAUAUGGGAACACUUUCAGUUCCCCAAGUUAAAACAUGAAAUUGCACAUCAUCAUUUGGAUCCCUAAAGAGGAAAAGAAAAAUUCACAACCUGCCAGUGAAAUACUCAGGCCACUUGGAUGAAGACCAAGGUCCUUUCCAUAAAAUCCAGGUGUUAUUUACUAACUAAUCAUAAAUGAAUAUCAAAAUGGGACUUAAAAAUAACAAGGCUGUGUUAUAACAGCAGUCUUUCCAGUUGUGUAUGCUUUACUAAUCUAAAUUGGGUAACAGAACCGGAGAAAAGGAAGACUACACAGAUUUAUCAUAAGCCAUUAGUGAACAUGAUAGAAAUGCAUAAUUUGUUAAAGUGAAUUAUGGCUCUGAUUUGUCAAAUGAGGAGGUUAAUUAUCCUAGGAUUUGCUAUGCUGUUGUGGUGUUAGAAGAUUGGAUCUUUAGCAGCAAAGGUAAUAUCAACAAUAUUUUCUGCUUAAGAAAGUGCCUUGGUUAAGGUAGACCAUGAUAUCGUUUUUGACUAAGCUCUCUGGGCUAUUGAUUCUGUCAUAUUCCAAAGGCAGUAUUGGUUUGAGGCUGAAUCUCACGGUCAAUGUCAAUAUGCAAAACCCACAAAGACCCUGACGCCCCUCCACGGUAUGCACUUCCCAAAAGUUUCUCACUGUGAAAUCCUUUUUUUUAAAAAAAAAAAAAAAAGAAAAAAUCUUACUGUGAAUCCUUUCCCAUGGAAUGGUCCCACCUUUACCUCGGAAAGAGGCGUGGCUUGCUCUGCGAGCAGGUCCACCUUGAGGAGACCACAGGCGCAAGAGCUCUGCUUGCAGAACACACAGGGGGAUUUUCCCACAUUCUUACUGGAGUCAGAUUCGGCAAAGCAUUUCAAGCAACUGCUGGACACUUCAAAUACCACUCCCUGUUAACAACGCCCUGAGUAUCUCACUGUCUCCAGGAUGUGGUCUAAAGGGAAAAACAGAAAUGGCCAACAGCUCCCUCCCCAGGCAGGACUGCGAUUUCACAGACAACAUAUAGGCAUCCCCAGUUUGGUGAAUAAACAGGAGAGUGAGAGGAAAACAGCAAUCAUUCAACUCCAGUAGAUGUAAAUCCUCCAGAAGAAUGUGUCCUGGGGAGGUCAGAAAUGUCAUUUUUUUCUCCAGCACAUUUCAUCUGCCACAUUCCGCCGUCCGAUGUUUGAGGAAGGAGCCCUGCCUUUCCUUCAGGGGCUCUUGUCGCCAAGUUUGAUGGUGACAGUUUUCACUUCUGUGUAUUCGGCCAAAGCGUAUUCACCUCUGUGAUCACAGAAAAGAGGAAAAUUCAAAAUGGGUACAUCCCUUAGCCAUUGUGUAGAAACUGUUCUGAUGCUUCAUCAUUCCAUCAGGCCAUUGGAGGCUUAUGCAAAAGGUCAAAAUGUGACGACUUCAUGGAAUAAUAGCCAGGACUAUAACACCACUAGUAAGUGUCAGUAGCUGCAUAUGUGACUUAAAUGUAAAUAUCGAGGUCUUCUUGUGUGUGAUGCUUUUGAAAUGGCCAGGACUAAGGGUUUACCUUUAGAGAAUGAAGGGGAUUUCAAAAAAGUAAAGAGGUGAAUUCCCUGGGGUGGCAAUAGAGAGCAAAAAGAGAGGGCCUGGUGGAUGGUGGGGUGUGUGUGAACAAGGGAGGAGCAGAAAUUACACUGGGUUUAUAACUUUUAGAUAGCAAUUGGGAGCUGCUUGAAGAGGAGACAGAAGAGGCAGAGGCCCAAAGCUAUUGGCUGGGGAUGUGGCCAGAGGACCAGAGGGAAGAACACCAAGGGCCUGAAGUUGGCCUCAGAGUGCACAGCUGGGGACCAGCUGUCAGACAGCGAGGCCAGCCUGGGGGCGUGUGGGAAGCAGACGUUAGCACAGACUGGACACGGGGAGGCCACAGCCUUUGGGUUCACAUCCUUGGUAUAGUUCCUUUCUUUAAAUCUUGCAGGGCUCAGGUGAUCCUUCCCUGGCACCAUGGGCUGUCUUCAGGGUAGCUUCCCUUCCAAGACCCAAGAGGCAGCUUUGGGGAGAUUUAAAUCCCUCUAAGCGCUUGAUCUGCUGUCAGGUGAAGAAAAAUGUGUGCUUGUUUAGGAAGAGAUGAAGGGAGAGGUGGCCACUGGAGUCUCUGUAGUUAAAAAGACCUGUGACAGAAUCCCAUCUCCUCCCUUAGAUCAAUGGUUCUCAAAGUGUGGUCCCCAGACCAGCAGCAUCAGCCUCACCUCUGAACUUGCUAGAAACAUAGAUUCUCAGACCUCCCCCAGCCCUACUAUCAUAGGCAGAAUAAGGAUCUCCCCAAAGGUAUCCAAAAUCGGAUCCCCCAAACCUGUGAAUACAUUGGGCUACAUAGUGAAGAAUUAAUGUUGCAGAUGGAAUUCAAGUUACUAAUCAAUUGACUUUAAAAGAGGGAGACUAUCCUGGAUCAUCCAGGCAGACUCAAUGUAAUCACAAGGGUCCCUAAAACUGGCAGAAGAAGAGAGGCAGAGCAAAAUGAGAUUAUAGAAACAGGUUCAGAGAGCAGCAGUGCUGGCUUUGAAGACGGAGGAUGGGGCCACCAGCCUAGGAAUGCGAGCAGCCUCUAGAGGAUGGAAAAGGCAAGGAAGCAGAUUCUCUCCUGAGAACCUCCAAAAAGGAAUGCAACCCUUGAUUUUAGCUCAGGGAGACCUGUGUCAGAUUUUUAUCCUACAGAACUAUAAGAUAAUAGAUUUAUGUUAUUUAAGCCACUGAUGUUAUGGUAACUUCUUAUAGGAGCAAUAAAAAACUAAUAAACUUACUGAAUCAGAAA